GCACUCUCGGUCCUCCACGAAAACACGUUUUCCACUCUGCUUCAAGCCUCUUCCAGAUGCAGGAGUCUAACAGAGUCCACAUAAACAAGAAACCAAAACAAAACGGCACAAGAUCGAAAGCUUUCCCCUUGUGAUACAACCACUUUAUGUGCAGAGAGGCGCUCACAUGAUGCUGCCAACAUGUGUUUUCUGUCUCAGAUUUCCCUUGAUAACAAAGGACAUAUUUUAGAAGGCGUGGCCCUAGGUGCAUUUGGCCAGCAGGAAUCCGAGUGGAGUUUGGGGAUUUCAUUUGGGUUUAGGCUGAUCCCCUCGGGUGCCCAGUGCUACAGCCCUUGAUGAUGUUAAACCCCAAUUAAUAAAGUUGUUAGGAACACUUUGGGUCAGGUUUGUAAGAUAUGAUCUCAUUCUACUGCUCACAGAACUGAUUUAAUAUUCAGGAAUCAACUAAGCUCAUUCAUUUCCAAAAUUGGCAGCCCUGCAUGUUGCUUCACAGUACUCCCUCUGUCCAAGGCUGGGCAGGGUAUGUUAAAAGGAAAUCUGCAGAAGAGUCUUUCAUGAUGUUCCAAGACUCAGAGAGAAGGAUGGGGGCUGGGAAACAGGCAGGGUGGACAGGUGGGAGGGACAGUAGCUCUGCCUGAGGUAUGAAUGUGAUAGACAGAGAAAGGCAAUGAUAGCUCAGAAAAACUCACGACUCUUAUUGUUAGAAAUCCCACUUCCAAAUCUAUGCAAGUUUUAAGAAGCCAGAAAUAGCUGCAUUAACAUUACCGUAUGGACUUUUUUUAAAAAGUUGCAAAUGACCAUAAAAAAUAUCAGCCAUCUCUUUUGAUGACCUUACCUAAGUGAUUUAUGAUCUUAAAAGCCUCCUCUAAAUACUGCUUUUUAAUCAAGAAAGCUUAUGUUACUCUUCCUACACAAAAUUAACCUCACUUCAGAUUUUGAAGAAAAGGCAGAUCAUAUUUUUAAAUUUCAAUUUUUCAUCUUUUAAAUAG
Molecule: long non-coding RNA, 989 nt
Filed under: Homo sapiens (human)
Lineage: Eukaryota; Metazoa; Chordata; Mammalia; Primates; Hominidae
Description: HSALNT0025263
Source: RNAcentral